UCCAAUAUCCCUGUGAUUUUUAGGGUGUC
This 29-nucleotide non-coding RNA is filed under the name Mus musculus (house mouse). Lineage: Eukaryota; Metazoa; Chordata; Mammalia; Rodentia; Muridae. The record is from RNAcentral.